GAUGAACGCUGGCGGCGUGCCUAAUACAUGCAAGUCGAGCGAACAGACGAGGAGCUUGCUCCUCUGAUGUUAGCGGCGGACGGGUGAGUAACACGUGGAUAACCUACCUAUAAGACUGGGAUAACUUCGGGAAACCGGAGCUAAUACCGGAUAACAUGUUGAACCGCAUGGUUCAACAGUGAAAGACGGUCUUGCUGUCACUUAUAGAUGGAUCCGCGCCGCAUUAGCUAGUUGGUAAGGUAACGGCUUACCAAGGCAACGAUGCGUAGCCGACCUGAGAGGGUGAUCGGCCACACUGGAACUGAGACACGGUCCAGACUCCUACGGGAGGCAGCAGUAGGGAAUCUUCCGCAAUGGGCGAAAGCCUGACGGAGCAACGCCGCGUGAGUGAAGAAGGUCUUCGGAUCGUAAAACUCUGUUAUUAGGGAAGAACAGAUGUGUAAGUAACUAUGCACGUCUUGACGGUACCUAAUCAGAAAGCCACGGCUAACUACGUG
This 497-nucleotide ribosomal RNA is filed under the name uncultured bacterium. RNAcentral describes it as "partial 16S ribosomal RNA". It matches the Rfam family "Bacterial small subunit ribosomal RNA", at positions 28 to 507 of the family's 1533-position model. The record is from RNAcentral.